RNAcentral lists this long non-coding RNA (279 nucleotides) under Numida meleagris (helmeted guineafowl). RNAcentral's name for it is "lncRNA (ENSNMEG00000002012.1)". Lineage: Eukaryota; Metazoa; Chordata; Aves; Galliformes; Numididae. The record is from RNAcentral.
GAGGCACCUUGAUUAGCCCAGUGUGUGUGUGGGGGGGGGGAUGGUUAAUGAGAGCCCGCUAAUUAAUCAGGAGGCUCCGGGGGGGGGCACCUUGAUGAGCCAUGGUUUCUUGAUGACCUGGGGGGGAGCUAAUGAGAGCCUGCUAAUUAAUAAACUAAUUGGGGUGCUCCGGGGGGGGGGCACCUCGAUGAGCCGCAGUUUCUCAAUGAUCUGGGGAGCUAAUGAGAGCCCACUAAUUAAUGAAUGACUGCAUUAACUGGGGGGCUCAAAGGGGGGCAC